Molecule: ribosomal RNA, 253 nt
Filed under: uncultured bacterium
Lineage: Bacteria
Description: partial 16S ribosomal RNA
Rfam family: Bacterial small subunit ribosomal RNA
Source: RNAcentral
GACGAACCGAGCGAACGUUAUUCGGAAUCACUGGGCUUAAAGGGCGCGUAGGCGGUCGAUCAAGUCAGGGGUGAAAGCCCCCAGCUCAACUGGGGAAGUGCCUCUGAUACUGGUCGCCUCGAGGGAGGUAGGGGCGUGCGGAACUUCCGGUGGAGCGGUGAAAUGCGUAGAUAUCGGAAGGAACACCGGUGGCGAAGGCGGUUCUCUGGGCCUUACCUGACGCUGAGGAGCGAAAGCGUGGGGAGCGAACAGG